This 309-nucleotide long non-coding RNA is filed under the name Homo sapiens (human). RNAcentral's name for it is "non-protein coding lnc-LRIT2-5:1". The record is from RNAcentral. Lineage: Eukaryota; Metazoa; Chordata; Mammalia; Primates; Hominidae.
AUCCAUGUCCCUACAAAGGACAUGAACUCAUCAUUUUUUAUGGCUGCAUAGUAUUCCAUGGUGUAUAUGUGCCACAUUUUCUUAAUCCAGUCUAUCGUUGUUGGACAUUUGGGUUGGUUCCAAGUCUUUGCUAUUGUGAAUAGUGCCACAAUAAACAUAUGUGUGCAUGUGGUGAUGCCUCCAGCUUUGUUCUUUUGGCUUAGGAUUGACUUGGUGAUGCGGGCUCUUUUUUGGUGCCAUAUGAACUUUAAAGUAGUUUCCAAUUCUGUGAAGAAAGUCAUUGGUAGCUUGAUGGGGAUGGCAUUGAAU